GAAAUAUUUGAAGGCAAAUAGAGUUUUUAUGAGUUUCUUGGUUGAAAAUUUAAUCCAAGUUGAUCACACGGAAGUUGCCGAUGUGAAGGAAGAAGCAAGGGGGAUUGGUGACGAGCCUCGGUCUGGCGUAGAACGCCGACAUAAAACCAAGGCUACCCCGUGAGAUCGGCCUCAUUUGCCGCUUGAUUUCGCCGAUAACAGAAGAGAAAUUUUGAAGUCUUGGAUAUUUUCAAUCCUUCACAUCUUGUGUUAAAUAUAUAUUGGUAAGAAAUCAUUUUAGCAAUUAACUUUCAUUUAACUUACAAAGUUUUGUUUACGAUCUUAACUAUUUCUCUUGUAUUGAUUUUACUAAAUAUAAUAUUUUGUGUUUGGAUUUGUGUUUUAAGUCAACGUUUAGACAUGGCAAACACCGACCCUAAAGUUAUCAUUUUAGGUCACUCUUUUGUAAAACGUCUUCAGCGUGAUUUAAAUUCAUCUUUCGAUCCAAGGGCACGUAAAGAUUUUAAACUUCGAGGUACAGCUCCUGUCUCUUUACACGGCGUAGGAGGCAGAACUGUGAGUAAACUACGCCAAUUUGAUUUAAACAUUUUGAGUCGAUUACGUCCAGUUAUUGUUAUUCUGGAAAUAGGAACUAACGAUCUCAGCCAUCAAAGGCCUGAGGUUGUUGGAUCCUCGAUCGAUGAUUUAGUUUGCCAUAUUCUAGGCGAAUUUUCGAGCGUCCGAGCUAUAGGUGUUUGCCAUGUGAUUCCCCCGCAGUUAUUUGUAUCUGGCGGCCGAACAAUUUUUUUAAAAGGUAAAGCUUUUGAAUCAAUACCUAAGCGUUGUAUUGGAGCAAUAUCCUAAUGUUUUUUGUUGGCAACACAAGCAAUUUAACAGUAUAUUUAAGGAUUUAUAUUUACAUGACGGCGUUCACCUCAAUAGAUUAGGUCAAUAUUUUUUAUACCGUAGUUAUCGAGGUGCCAUAUUACAAGUUUUGAGCAUGCUGCAGUGAUAGGUUUAGGUGAGUAGCACUAGCCGCUGCGUCAACCAUGUGUUUGAUAAGGUUAUCGUGUUACCUUUUUACAUUUGUAAUUAGUUUUUAUUAAUUCCUAGUUUGCCAAUUUUGAAGUAACACUGUCAUUGUAUUUAUAUCAUGGGGAUAUAGUAAUUUAUUGAGAUAUUGGCAUUGUCCAGCUCACUUUAAUUUAUAUCGGUAAUUUAAUGCUAUUUAAGGUGGCUCCCUAGGGUUUUUUAAUUUACUACACUAUAGUAUUCAGGAGACUCCUGUUUCUUUACUUUACAUGAUAUGAAGACGAAAUUUAUUGGACACAUUGACAAUGUUCUCCUGAACAUUACAAAUUUCUACUUUUGUGUUAAAAAUAUGUUGUCAUGGCAACAGCAUGCUUAGAAUAAAGCUCAUAAUUUGUCUUUUUCAGGUCAUUUUAAAAAGUUCCUUCGGUGAAAUUUUUUAAAACUUUGUAUAAAAGAUAAUACUUGUAUAAUUAUUUUCCCCCCUCAAUUAAAAAAAAUUAAAUCGAUACGUUUCUUAGAAAAUUUAAAAAACGUCAAAAAUGAAUAUUAAAAAUUUUCCCUUCGAUUUAAUUUUAAGAAAAAAGGAUAUUGCACUUGUUGUACCGAUAUUAAAAAAAUGUGCAAAAUUUUAAAAAAAUUUCCCGAAGGAAAACGGAGAAAUUUGGGUUCAAUUUUGGCAAUUUUUACUAGAUUUUUACGCGAACAAUUUAAUACCCCACUGACGUGUACAUGCAUUCUGCAUAAAACAACAAGGCAUGACUUUUUCGAAAUCACAAAAUAUAAAUUAUGUUCGAUAUACUGUUUAUAACUGUGUCGGUUAAUGGUCAACUAAGCGUGGAUUAUACAUGUAAAAAUGGCAAAGAUAUUUAGGUAAUUACUGGUUAUGACUUCUUGGUAUUAAUUUGAAAAAUGUUUGUCAAAAUUCGUCCCGUGCGAGUAUACUAUCGUCGGAUGUUUUCGCAAAAUGCCCGUUCAAAUUUCAGUUUUUAUAGCGAUAUGUUUGGAGUUUCGGCCCUGCUCAUUUCACCCGUAGUGGGCUCAUUAUUUAAGUCAUCUUUAUUGUCAUAAGUGCUGCUAGAUUGUGGAGAAAACACUGCAAAUUCUUGAGGAAACUUUAUAUCCUAAUGUUCACGAUUGAACCUCGCGUACGUCGGUUCAAAAAACAUCCAGAAUACCGCUUGAAAAAAAACAAGUUUACAUUAUCUUCUUUUGAACAUCACAUCCAAGUAUCGUUUUGGCUUUUAGAACUCUUUUAUGCUUUCAACUGAAGCAAAGUUCACACUUUUGUUUCAAAAAAGAGUUCCAUAUAAAACACAACGUUCGUUCGUAUUUUGAAGUCACACGAGUUUUAUUUUACAUAUAUACGAAGAACGUAACCCCCGGAAAUAAAACCCUAGGGAGCCAUCUUAACAUGAGCAUUUGGCUGUUUAUAAGUUGGCCUUUACUGCCAGUGUGGGUUUAUAACUCUAACUUAUAUCAUUUGGUAGGUUUACAAUUGUGCCAGUGAGGUCUUUGUUACCUUUUGGCGAUAUAUUAUAUAUUUUUCAUGCCAGUGUGGUUUAAUAUAAUCAUUUGGCACUUUUUCAAUUUUGUCAGUGAUGUCUUUGUUACCUUUUGGCGACAUAUUAUAUAUUUUUCAUGCCAGUGUGGUUUAAUAUAAUCAUUUGGCAGGUCUACAAUUUUGCCAGUGAGGUCUUUGUUACCCCUUUUGGCGAUAUAUUAUAUAUUUUUCAUGCCAGUGUGGUUUAAUAUAAUCAUUUGGCAGGUCUACAAUUUUGCCAGUGAGGUCUUUGUUACCUUUUGGCGGUAUAUUAUAUAUUUUUCAUGCCAGUGUGGUUUAAUAUAAUCAUUUGGCAGGUCUACAAUUUUCCCAGUGAGGGCUUUGUUACCUUUUGGCGAUAUAUUAUAUAUUUUUCAUGCCAGUGUGGUUUAAGAUAAUCAUUUGGUUUGUUACAUUUUUCCAGUGAGGUCUUUGUUACCUUUUGGCGAUAUAUUAUAUAUUUUUCAUGCCAGUGUGGUUUAUUAUAAUCAUUUUGGCUUCUUUACACUUUUGCCAGUGAGGUGCGCUGCCUUUUGGCUAGUUGUGUUUAUAAAAAUUUGGAUGCCAGUGUGGGGUUUAUAUAACUUUUCAGGUCAAAUAGCUGCCAAGUUAUGUAUGUUUCUUUCAUAUAGUAUAAUAUGCCUCGACGUGUAACACGAUCCACCUCGAAUCCGGGUCCAAGCGCAGCAGACGUUGUUUCAACUGUGAACCGCCCAGCUGUAAAACGUCCAGCCAAAAAGGCAACUCGACCAGCAAAGAAAUCAAGGUCAACAUCCAGCCAAAUACCUGUACAAGUGGUUGAAGCUGCAGCAACAACACUGACCCCAGAUCUACUUGAGCAGCUGGUGACAAAGGUUGCUGAUGUUGUGACACAGAGACUAUCUGGAAGUUCCAUGAGUACCAAUCCAACCGCUUCAGUCAGCCUACCAGGGUCGUCGAGUCCACAUCCGCCAGAUGCCAGCAUUCUACAGCAGCCAGUAGACCACAACAUCUUGCAGGAAGUCCAACCUACAAUAGAUUCCCUGGUCGAAGUAGCUGUGGGGCAGUCCCAAGAAGCUAUCGCAGGUAUACGUUAUGGUGAUACACCAUCUAUUCCAAAAACUAUUUUUCAUUCAAGCAGCCUGGAAAUAGAUUCUAGAGUGAACGAUAGAGUAAAAGCCAAAAUUUGGAAUAAUGAAUAUGUGGAAUUUAGUACCCUUAUUUCUAGUCAAGGGAACAAUAAGUUCCAAUUGUCGUUUCAAAGUUUAGAGGGUAAUAAUGGCCCAUCUAUUUGUCUCGAGCCAAUUAACCGGAGCCAAAAAAUUUUCAAUAUUAAUCAAUGGCUCCAAGCAUUUCAUAUAUUUGUAGGAGUCUACACUCGUAGAUUUCCAAGUGAAUCCCCGGGGUUGAUGAAGUACUGUGAAAUAAUCCAAGACUUAGUGUCACGGGGUUUCAACUGGAAAUUUUAUGAUGAGAACUUCCGUUUUUUAAGACAAAAUCCUGCUUCAGCCUUGCCUUGGGGAAGUGUUCACUGGGAGC
Non-coding RNA from Paramuricea clavata, 4069 nucleotides. The record is from the annotation of a GenBank genome assembly. NCBI's taxonomy places the organism in Eukaryota, Metazoa, Cnidaria, Anthozoa, Malacalcyonacea, Plexauridae.